Long non-coding RNA from Gossypium arboreum, 1042 nucleotides. RefSeq lists it as uncharacterized. The record is from RefSeq and is a predicted model, not a curated record. Lineage: Eukaryota; Viridiplantae; Streptophyta; Magnoliopsida; Malvales; Malvaceae. The transcript is spliced from 2 exons.
AACAGGAGAGACAAUUUACAAAUGAAAUAAUUGAAAAACAGGAUCAAUGUGCCAUGCGCACAAACAUGCAGGGACCGAAAUCGAAAACAUCCCGCACCCAAUAAUAUUACACUGAACCGCGGAUCAAAGUAAAAAAAUACAAAUUAGAAGGUCAAAUUAAAAAAACAAAAUAAAUAAACAGGACGCAAUUGAAGGCUCCGCGCAAAGGGAAGGACCUAACGCGUAAAUUGUCCAUUUGAAAGAACAAGGCGCGGAUCCAGGUACUCCAAUAGGCUAGCGCGCGGAUCCUUAAAAGCAUGGUCCAGCACCACGUUUUUUUCAAUGAAUUUAAAACCCUUUUUCAUCCUUUUUUCCCAAAUGCUGCCCAUCUUCCAAACAAAAAACCACAACCCUAAAAUUAAAAUUGCUAGGGUUCUUUACAUCUGCCAGAUUCACCAUUUUGUUUGGCAAUCGACAGUAUACCACCAUGAAGAGAUCCAUGCCACGUCCAUGAAAAUAUUGUGAGAUACUUUCCUUUCCCUUUUCUUUCGCAAAAAACAUUUGAAUCUCCUGUUUUUUUUAAAAAAACAGAUCGAAAUAAAAAAAAAAAAGAAAAAAUGAACCCGAAUUCAACGAUGUUCGACCCUCGCCCGUAUCCAUAUAUGAGAUGUAGGCUUUCAUUGGUGUCGAUUCAGAUUUGGCCGUACAGUGGAGGUGUGCGCGCGAGGAAUCACUCGUGGGAGUUCCAAUUUUUGGCCUAUUCUGGUACAUUCCAGAAGCUCCUAGUGCUGCUGAGAAUUUUGGGUGUAUUGGGCCUCGAGUUUUAGGGCUAAUUCUUAUUGGGUUUGGGGACUUAGAAUUUGGGCAUCUGUUAUGUAAUUGGGGCUAAAAUUUUGGAGUAUUUGGUUAGAAAAUGAGUUUAUUAGAAUUGGGUUUUAAUUUUAUGUAAAGGGUUUUGGGGUAUUUGUUUAAUUGGGUUAGGUGUUUUGUAAAUGGGCCCGGGCAAAAUGGGCCUAUUACAUAUAGAAACACAAAUCGUGAAUUCUAAACUAUUUAAAGUUAA